GACGAACGCUGGCGGCGUGCUUAACACAUGCAAGUCGAACGGAAAGGCCCUGCUUUUGUGGGGUGCUCGAGUGGCGAACGGGUGAGUAACACAUGAGUAACCUGCCCUUGACUUUGGGAUAACUUCAGGAAACUGGGGCUAAUACCGGAUAGGAGCUCCUGCUGCAUGGUGGGGGUUGGAAAGUUUCGGCGGUUGGGGAUGGACUCGCGGCUUAUCAGCUUGUUGGUGGGGUAGUGGCUUACCAAGGCUUUGACGGGUAGCCGGCCUGAGAGGGUGACCGGCCACAUUGGGACUGAGAUACGGCCCAGACUCCUACGGGAGGCAGCAGUGGGGAAUAUUGCACAAUGGGCGGAAGCCUGAUGCAGCAACGCCGCGUGCGGGAUGACGGCCUUCGGGUUGUAAACCGCUUUCGCCUGUGACGAAGCGUGAGUGACGGUAAUGGGUAAAGAAGCACCGGCUAACUACGUGCCAGCAGCCGCGGUGAUACGUAGGGUGCGAGCGUUGUCCGGAUUUAUUGGGCGUAAAGGGCUCGUAGGUGGUUGAUCGCGUCGGAAGUGUAAUCUUGGGGCUUAACCCUGAGCGUGCUUUCGAUACGGGUUGACUUGAGGAAGGUAGGGGAGAAUGGAAUUCCUGGUGGAGCGGUGGAAUGCGCAGAUAUCAGGAGGAACACCAGUGGCGAAGGCGGUUCUCUGGGCCUUUCCUGACGCUGAGGAGCGAAAGCGUGGGGAGCGAACAGGCUUAGAUACCCUGGUAGUCCACGCUGUAAACGGUGGGUACUAGGUGUGGGGUCCAUUCCACGGGUUCCGUGCCGUAGCUAACGCUUUAAGUACCCCGCCUGGGGAGUACGGCCGCAAGGCUAAAACUCAAAGGAAUUGACGGGGCCCCGCACAAGCGGCGGAGCAUGCGGAUUAAUUCGAUGCAACGCGUAGAACCUUACCUGGGUUUGACAUGGAUCGGGAGUGCUCAGAGAUGGGUGUGCCUCUUUUGGGGUCGGUUCACAGGUGGUGCAUGGCUGUCGUCAGCUCGUGUCGUGAGAUGUUGGGUUAAGUCCCGCAACGAGCGCAACCCUUGUUCACUGUUGCCAGCACGUUAUGGUGGGGACUCAGUGGAGACCGCCGGGGUCAACUCGGAGGAAGGUGGGGAUGACGUCAAGUCAUCAUGCCCCUUAUGUCCAGGGCUUCACGCAUGCUACAAUGGCUGGUACAGAGAGUGGCGAGCCUGUGAGGGUGAGCGAAUCUCGGAAAGCCGGUCUCAGUUCGGAUGGGGGUCUGCAACUCGACUUCAUGAAGUGGGAGUCGCUAGUAAUCGCAGAUCAGCAACGCUGCGGUGAAGACGUUCCCGGG
This 1343-nucleotide ribosomal RNA is filed under the name uncultured bacterium. RNAcentral's name for it is "16S ribosomal RNA". It matches the Rfam family "Bacterial small subunit ribosomal RNA", at positions 28 to 1378 of the family's 1533-position model. The record is from RNAcentral.